This 214-nucleotide ribosomal RNA is filed under the name uncultured bacterium. RNAcentral describes it as "partial 16S ribosomal RNA". It matches the Rfam family "Bacterial small subunit ribosomal RNA", at positions 524 to 736 of the family's 1533-position model. The record is from RNAcentral.
UACGGAGGGUGCGAGCGUUUGUCCGGAAUCACUGGGCGUAAAGGGCGCGUAGGCGGCGCGGAUAGUCGGCGGUGAAAGCCCGGAGCUCAACUCCGGGUCGGCCGUCGAUACUUCCGGGCUUGAGCACUGUAGAGGCAGAUGGAAUUCCGGGUGUAGCGGUGGAAUGCGUAGAGAUCCGGAAGAACACCGGUGGCGAAGGCGGUCUGCUGGGGCA